This 465-nucleotide ribosomal RNA is filed under the name uncultured bacterium. RNAcentral describes it as "partial 16S ribosomal RNA". It matches the Rfam family "Bacterial small subunit ribosomal RNA", at positions 28 to 507 of the family's 1533-position model. The record is from RNAcentral.
GACGAACGCUGGCGGCGUGCUUAACACAUGCCAGUCGAACGGAAAGGCCCCUUUGGGGGUACUCGAGUGGCGAACGGGUGAGUAACACGUGAGUAACCUGCCCUUGACUUCGGGAUAACUUCAGGAAACUGGGGCUAAUACCGGAUAGGAAUCCUUGCUGCAUGGUGGGGGUUGGAAAGCUUCGGCGGUUUUGGAUGGACUCGCGGCUUAUCAGCUUGUUGGUGGGGUAGUGGCUUACCAAGGCUUUGACGGGUAGCCGGCCUGAGAGGGCGACCGGCCACAUUGGGACUGAGAUACGGCCCAGACUCCUACGGGAGGCAGCAGUGGGGAAUAUUGCACAAGGGGCGGAAGCCUGAUGCAGCAACGCCGCGUGCGGGAUGACGGACUUCGGGUUGUAAACCGCGUUCAGCAGGGGCGAAGCUUGUGGUGACGGUACCUGCAGAAGAAGCACCGGCUAACUACGUG